Molecule: small RNA, 2679 nt
Filed under: Pan troglodytes (chimpanzee)
Lineage: Eukaryota; Metazoa; Chordata; Mammalia; Primates; Hominidae
Description: retained intron
Source: RNAcentral
AUAGUUCCGGUGGCGACUGCGGCGCAUGGCGGUGAGCGGUGUGGAGAAGACGCGCGGGUGGCUGGGCCUUGCAUUGUUGGCGGCUCUCGGUGACCCUCGUGCUACCCCCCUUUCUCCAGGCCCCGGGACAUCUUGCUGGGGAGGCAGCGGCGGCCCCAGGCCCGGGUACUCCCUGCGCGUCCCGCAGACCCCGGCUUCCCGGCCCGGUUUCCAGCGUCCGGAAUCCUUCCACUGUCUGUCUCUGCCCAGGGCAACCUACGUGCAGUAACGCUGACUCCAGAGCGCACCCGUUAGGCGAUGAAGGCGGCACAGCGUCGAAAAAACAAAAGAAUAAGAAGAAAACCCGGAACAGGCCCUCUGUGGCAAAUGGAGGCGAGAAGGCCUCAGAGAAACUCGCCCCAGAAGAAGUUCCCCUAAGCGCUGAGGCCCAGGCACAACAGUUGGCCCAGGAAUUGGCUUGGUGUGUGGAGCAACUGGAGCUGGGCCUCAAGAGGCAGAAACCCACCCCGAAACAGAAAGAGCAGGCUAUUGGAGCAAUCCGAACCCUGCGCAGCAAAAGAACGCCCCUGCCCCGGAAGAGGCAGCUGAUGCACUCUUUGUUUGGAGACUACAGGGCUCAGAUGGAAGCCGAACGGCUUGAGGCCCUGCGGGCUGUCAGAGCUGCUGCUUAUUCAGCCCAGGUGCAACCUGUAGAUGGAGCCACCAGAAAGAAGAGCCAAAGGGUCUGCAGGCCUCGCCCUAUAUGGAGAGCCAAAGCCACUCUGGACAUGCCUGAUGAAGAGUUUAGGUUCAAUUUCUUUUAGCGUCUCCCCCAACCUGAAACAAUCCCCCUCCCUUGGGGUGGUGUAGGGGUUUGUUUUGAGUGCAGAGCAUUUCCAGGACUUCUGUUGUCAGAGAACCCUGGAGUUGGUCUGUCCCUGGCUGGUCCAAGGAUUUGUAGCUGUUGUGAAGGUGUGAGACCAUCAGAUAGGCAAAAGACCCCGUUCGUUUUCUGAUGAAAUGUUCUCUCUUUCAGAAGAGAGAGAGAGGUGCAUUUAGAAAAUAUGCAAUAAAUUGAAGUGAGUGUUCAAAGUAUUGUAGAAGGAAUAUUGUACUCAGUCUUUAGGAUUAGAUUAAGUGGCUGUUGGUAACAAAGAUUAGUGGAGAAGCUGUAUAAUCGUACACUGGUUUUCACUUUUGAAAGGAAUCCCUGUCAAAUGGUUUAGUGCUUAAUGCUGUUAUGUCACAUUGCCCUAAUCUCUAUUUUUGAUAAAAUUGGAUAAGGAGUGAAAGAGUAUGCUGACCACCUAUGUUAGAGGAAGUACAGAAGAUGCAGGGGUGUGGUAUCCCUGGGUCCAGUCCCUCACCUGGUACCUUUGUGCAUGUUGCCUUCAUUCCUGAGCAGGUAUCAGCCUCAGGGAACCAGCAUGGCACCUACCAGGCCAGGCUCUGUUCUUAGGAGCAAGGAGCUUCUUGCGCUAACAGUUCUGGCCUGAGACCUGGAUUGAGCCUUGGCAGACUUCUUGUCUAAAUGUUGGCCAUUCAGUCUCAGGCCCUCUGUUCCAUGGAAUUGGGAAUCCCCAGGUGACCUAAUCCUCAUUGGUGGCUUGAUGUUUGCUGGUGUCUUCCAAACUCAGUUCCCAGACUAGAUUGAUACCUGGAGCCCAGCUGCCUACUCAGCAUUUCCACUUGGGUGCUUCAUAGGCAUUUCAAACCUGAUGUGUUUAAAACACUUGAUUAGGCUCCGGUUUCCCUUUGGCUUCUGCUUUUCAGUGAAUGGCAUGACUGCCUAUGUGGGUGGCAAGCCACCCAGGUGCCGAGGAAAGAGACUGAGGGCACGAGCUAUUCCAGUAUAAUGAAAUAUAUAAAAUAAGAAGAGUUAUACUAGAUCUAGAUCAUAGACAUGAUUAUAUGUGAGUAUCAUUAAUCAUUAGUUUAUAGCAAUUACUCUUUAUUCCAAUAUUAUAAUAAUCCUCACUUUACAAUCAUAACCUAGGAAAAACCAGGCCAUACAGAGAUAGGAGCUGAGGGGACAUAGUGAGAAGUGGCCAGAAGACAAGAGUGUGAGUCUUCUCUUAUGCCCGGACAGGGCCACCAGAGGGCUUCUUGGUCUAGCGGUAACACCAGUGUCUGGGAAGACGCCUGUUGCAAAGUGGACCAUGGUCUAGCAGUAGCAUCAGUGUCAAGGAAAAACACCAGCUACUUAGCAGACUGGGAAAAGGAGCCUCCCUUUCCCCGGGGGAGUUUAGAGAAGACUACUCCUCCACCUCUUGUGGAGGGCCUGACAUGAGUCAGGCCCGCCGGCAGUUAUCCGGAGGCCUGUCUCCCUGUGAUGCUGUGCUUCAGUGGUCACGCUCCUAGUCCGCUUUCAUGUUCCAUCCUGUAUACCUGGCUCUGCCUUUUAGAUAGCAGGAGCAAAUUAGUGAAAGUACUAAAAGUCUGAUAUGCAGAAAUAAUGGCAUAAGCUGUCUCUCUCUCUCCUCUCUCUCUCUGCCUCUGCUGCCAGGCAGGGAAGGGCCCCCUGUCCAGUGGACACAUGACCCAUGUGACCUUACCUAUUAUUGGAGAUGGUUCACAUUCCUUACCCUGCCCCUUUGUCUUAUAUCCAAUAAAUAUCAGUGCAGCCUGGCAUUUGGGGCCACUACUGGUCUCUGCGUCUUGGUGGUAGUGGUCCCCCAGGCCCAGGUGUCUUUUCUUUUA